UACGUAGGGUGCGAGCGUUAAUCGGAAUUACUGGGCGUAAAGCGUGCGCAGGCGGUGCACCAAGCUCGAUGUGAAAGCCCCGGGCUUAACCUGGGAAUUGCAUUGAGGACUGGUGUGCUCGAGUGCGGCAGAGGGGGGUGGAAUUCCACGUGUAGCAGUGAAAUGCGUAGAUAUGCGGAGGAACACCGAUGGCGAAGGCAAUCCCCUGGGCCUGUACUGACGCUCAUGCACGAAAGCGUGGGGAGCAAACAGG
Molecule: ribosomal RNA, 253 nt
Filed under: uncultured bacterium
Lineage: Bacteria
Description: partial 16S ribosomal RNA
Rfam family: Bacterial small subunit ribosomal RNA
Source: RNAcentral